This is a long non-coding RNA of Rhododendron vialii, 381 nucleotides long. RefSeq lists it as uncharacterized. The record is from RefSeq and is a predicted model, not a curated record. NCBI's taxonomy places the organism in Eukaryota, Viridiplantae, Streptophyta, Magnoliopsida, Ericales, Ericaceae. The transcript is spliced from 2 exons.
UGGCUUAACUUCAAAUCCCACCAAUAUGCCUAAAAAUUGGUUGAUAUCGAUUAAUCAACCAUGGAGUUUUUGAAAGCAUUACAGUAGGAGUUCAAGGUUGACAAAAGAGUGUGCCUAGCUAAUUUAUUCAAUAGAGAACCCCAUGGCCAACGGAAACCCAACUCAAACCAAUAGGCAUGAAGCACCGAUGCAAUCUUCAAGACCACAGAUCUGUUUUGGCAAAGCGCAUCGCCGGCCUGCUCUUGGCAUGAGAAAUCUCCGACUGAGUCAGUUAGUCUUCGCAGCCAUGAGCGAAGGACGCCACUUAGUUGGACGACACGCUGAAGUCAGGCCCCUGUACAAGGAAAUCAUUUAAUAGCAAAGUUAGUUCAAACCCAUCUU